GGAGAGGUGUCCGAGUUGGUCGAAGGAGCACGACUCGAAAUCGUGUAGGCGGGGAACCGUCUCGUGGGUUCGAAUCCCACCCUCUCCGCCA
This 91-nucleotide transfer RNA is filed under the name Effusibacillus lacus. RNAcentral describes it as "tRNA-Ser". It matches the Rfam family "tRNA". From Rfam's summary of the family: Transfer RNA (tRNA) molecules are approximately 80 nucleotides in length. Their secondary structure includes four short double-helical elements and three loops (D, anti-codon, and T loops). Further hydrogen bonds mediate the characteristic L-shaped molecular structure. tRNAs have two regions of fundamental functional importance: the anti-codon, which is responsible for specific mRNA codon recognition, and the 3' end, to which the tRNAs corresponding amino acid is attached (by aminoacyl-tRNA synthetases). tRNAs cope with the degeneracy of the genetic code in two manners: having more than one tRNA (with a specific anti-codon) for a particular amino acid; and 'wobble' base-pairing, i.e. permitting non-standard base-pairing at the 3rd anti-codon position. The record is from RNAcentral. Lineage: Bacteria; Bacillati; Bacillota; Bacilli; Caryophanales; Alicyclobacillaceae.